UAUACGGAAUGAGCUGCCAGAGGAAGUGGUUGACGCAAUAGUAUCAUCCAAGAUGUGUUUGUUCAGCUACAUGAAGCAGCAGGGUGUGGAGGCAAUCAGAAUCAGGUUUAUUAUCACCGGCAUAUCUCGUGAAAUUUGUUAACUUAGCAGCAGCAAUUCAAUGCAAUACCUAAUGUAGAAGAAGAGGGAAAAAAAAUAAAAAUACUUGCCAUCUGCAGGUGGAGCUCCUUUCACAGUGCACGCCAGAGUGCGACACCCCCUCUGAAGUGGAAACCUGGGUAAAGUCACACACCUCAUCACAAGCAAUGCGAAUACCCUUGUGAAAGAGAUGAGCCAUCUUCAGCUGACCUGCUGAUCUGAUUGAUGGUGACAGAGGCGGUGAUUAAACCUGCAUCAAAGAAGUGACAAGAACUGGUUGUGGGGAAGAAGAUGUGAAAGAUGGAUUAAUGUGGACACUGAUGUGUUGUUGUUGCAUGUUUAUGGAAAAUUAUAAUGGUGAUAUUCUUUUGAGAUUUGGGAAACCUGCGCUGCUCAGGUUAUCGAAGUGAAUAUUCUAAAGAUAAAAUCACACAGAAACCCCUUUAUUGGGAAGUAUUCAAUGAGUGCUUUGAGCAUCAGAGUGAGGAGAGCCUUUUCUAGCAUCGGUAAGCUACUGGAUUGAUUGGAGGAGUAAUGGUCUGUUCCAAAGAAGUGUCUUGGGAGGAGUCCUGGUCUCAAAGCUGAUGUCUGUAGGAAGGAUCUGAGUUAAAAAUGUUUGCUAAGCUUGCUUUCUAAACAUAAGCAGCUGCCACUUGAGAGACCACAAACGGAUGUAAGUAAACUUCUGGCUAAUGUAUGUACUUUGUUUAAUUUCUGGUCAUAAAUGCCUUCAGUUCUUAAAAUGCAAGUGGCAAGCAGUAAUCAGUUCGAAGUUAAAGCAAGUAUUGUCUAUAAGCUUUGCAAACAAGUUCUGUAUUUUGCUGAUGCUCUCUCUCACUACUCCCACUUAAUUAUUGCUCAAAAGUAGAGUAUAAGGCAAUGUAUUUGGGUUGUUUCAACACAGAAAACCUGACUCUUACAUUGCUUAAUUCAAGGAAGUUUGCAGAACAGAUGGAUAAUAUAAUUUAGUGUAUCAAUAAUUGAUGUGUUUUUAGUUGGAAAGGUUUUAUCUAUUCAGAGAAGUUAGCUUCACAGCAUUUAAAACAUUAAUAGUGGAUAACUCAGUAUUAUGUCUCCAAAAAUGCUUUUAUACUAUUUGUGUUAGAAGGAGAUCUGAGGAAAUACAUAUGCUUGAGAAGUCAGUCAAGUGAGGGAAAAAAGGUAUAAAUCUAGACCGCUGUUCAGGCUUAUCAGGAAUGUUAGGAACAUCAAGAGGAAACAUUAAAGAAACACAGAUAAACUAGAAUCCACUCCUCCACCUUUGCUUUCUGUGACAGAUGACAUUUUGUCUGCAAUUUGUUGAUAUGCGUUUUUAGUUUAUAGAAUUGUAUCUAUAAAAUCCUUUAUCCUUGAUGCUUUGUGCUUUGUGCUUUGGCAAUGUUUCAUGUUUUAGAGAUGAUUUGUAAUUUGGAAAUGUUUAAGAUAGAUCUCCUCUGGGUUUUAAGUGUAUUUUAAGAGUGUUGCUUGAACUUCAAUAUGUAACAGUAAAAUAGCUGAACUGUAUUUAAACUACGUUGUUAGCUGAAGUAUCUUCUCCAUGGUAGGGUGAGGGGCCCCACUCCUUGAAUAGUGGGUAUUGGGAGAAAAACAGGGAAAUGAGCUAGCUUUUGAAGAUUGAGUAGUUACAAUGUAGUCUCCCUUGGGUGAGGGUAUUCAUGGCUAUCUAUAUCAGAUAGUGCUUAAGGUCUUUGUUUAAGUGUAGAGCCUCAUGAUCAGCAAUCCCAAUGCAUCACAGUUUAUUCAGGAUGAUGCAGUCAGUCAUCAAUUGCCAUUGUCCAUCAGGCUUUGCUGUGCUGAAUGUUGGUAAGUUAAAUUAAGAAGGUUCUUUUAUCAAAACACCUUGUUUUUAAAGCAAAUCUACAGUUUCCUGUAAGGAUUUCUUUCCUCUAUAGUUAGGAAUAUGCUGCUGUUUCUGGCAUGGAACAGGAUUCAACACUAAUUCAGUCGGUUCAAUAUCAACCAUACCACAGUGGUUAAGAUGUUUUUGUAGGUAGUAGUCAUAAUAUUUGUACAAAAUAUGUUACAGUUUCGCUCUGAUUGUUUUAUCCUGAUGAUAGUCUUGUUUCAGAAUAUUUAUGUCUUGUUCAUCCGGUGCAGUUGUAUUGGCUGUUGGUUUGAUUAUAGUACAAAUCCAACAGUAAGCAUCCGGUGUUCCUAUUAGAAGUGCUAGUUUAUGACACUCUGGGGCAAGCUGGUGUUAAAACUUAUACUAAAACUGCUAUUGUUUGUUUCAUCCAAUAUAUCCAUAUGGGAACUUUAUAAACUGGGCACUGUACCUUAUGUCCAUGUUUGUAAUUCCAUGUAAUUUUAAUUUUCCCUGUUGGCUCCUCCAGUUUAUUGCUUUGAAUAAUAUCAGAUUUUAGCAUUAUAAACUGUGUGCACCUGUACCAAAUGGCAGGGUUGUACAGUGGAGUUUGGUCUGUAUAAUCUGCAUCCUGCUCCAUGUUCUGUCUCUUUAUUAUUCUAGGUCUCCAACUCAAAGAAUAAAAUAUUCAUCAUGCUCAAUCUGAGGAACAAUGAGGGUACUAUCCCUUAUUUCUGCUAUACUAUUAACACAUCUGUGAUAUUUACCUGCAUAACUGCUGGAAACCAGGAUGUCGGCCAUUUUAUGCUAUUUGGUGGAGUGCAUAGCAUUUGUCGAGUGCGCUCUGAGUGGGAUUACUGCUAAAUAAUAACUCUUUCAGAAAUAAUACUUUUGGUAUAAUGUGACCACGUCAGGUGCCAACUGUGAUAUACAGUAUUGGGAUAGCUGACUGCAAAGUUCUAAACCCAAACAAAGACCUUAAACCCUAUCUGAUAUAGAUAGCUAAGGGUACACUCACUAAAAGGAGGCUAUACUGUAACUAUCUAAUCUUCAAAGACUAAUUCACUUCCAAGUUUAUCCUCCACAGGCGUGCUCAGCUGGCAAUACCCAUUAUUUGAGGAAAGAGGAGAUACUUCCAGCUAACAAAGCAGUUUAAACACCGUUCAUUUAUUUUCACUGAUAUACAUUUAAAUUCUAACAGCAUUCUUAAAUCACAAGUUAAAGCUCACAGAGGAUUUCUAUCUUAUAAAAGGUUUCCAAAUUACAAAGGAUUUCCAAAGCAUAGGUACAAUUCCUAUAAGCUAACAAGGCACACCAAUGAGCCACAGAUGAACCAGUCGUUCAUUGCAGCAAUCAAUGGCAGACAAAUUGUUUCAAUUUCAUUCUACCUUUCUGUCAUUCUGCAUGAUCUUCCUUAGUCAUUCCUAAAACGCCCAAAUGCUGUCUUGAUUUAUACUGUUUCUCUGCCACAUGGAUGACUUCACAUGUGAUAUUUUUUUCCAGAUACCUUCGAACAACAAAUGGUCUAAAAGACAGAGAUCCCAGGUCCCCACAAUACAUGUUGUGAAGCUGACUAUUAACAAGACAGCUACCGUAUGUUUAUGCUAAGUCAUAAGAUCAGUCUGGUCUGCAAGCUUCUUUGUUCUAAGUAACGUAACCAGCAUUGGUUAGUUUGAAACAAGCCAAAUUAAAUAACCCAUUGUUUUACACUGCUUCUCAUGAGCAAUAAGCCCAGGGGCUGUGGGGCCAGAAAGUAUGUGGCCCCACUAUAUAGACAGUGCAUCUUUUUACAAAGCUGCCUUUUUAAUUUUAAACUGAUUGCAGCUUGCCCUUUACACAUUGAGAACCGAAGCCUGGCUCUGCUUAUGACAAGAAGCUAAACUAAGGCUAUUACAAGCACAAGAAAAUCUGCAGAUGCUGGAAAUUCAAAGCAACACACGCAAAAUGCUGGAGGAACUCAGCAGGCCGGGCAGCAUCUAUGGAAAUGAAUAAACAGUCAACGUUUCAGGCUGAUGCCCUUCAUCAGGACUGGAAAGGAAGGAGGAAGAAGGCAGACUAAGAAGGUCAGGGGAGGGGUGGAAGAACAAGGUGGCAGGUGAUAGAUGAAACCGGGAGAGGGGGAGGGGGUGAAGUAAAGAGUUGGGAAGUUGAUUGGUGAAAGAGAUGAAGGGCUGGAGAAGGGGGAAUCUGAUAAGAGAGGACAGAAGACCAUGGAAGAAAGGGAAGGGGGAGGAGAACCAGAAGGAGGUGAUGGGCAGGUAAGGAGAUAAGGAGAGAGAGAGAGAGAGGGAAACAGGAAUGGGGAAUGGCGAAGGAGAAGGUGGGGGCAAACAAGGUAGCCUCCAACCUAACGGUAUGAACACCAAUUUCUUGAACUUCUGGUAAUUGCACCCCCCCCCCCUUCACUAUUCCCCAUUCUUGUUUCACUCCCUCAUCUUGUCCAUCACAACAUAUACUGAGAUACAAUGACAAGCUUUAUUUGCAUGGCUUCCAAACAAACUGUUCCAUACAUAAGUACAUUAGGUUGGUAAAAAUAAAACAGAAUACAUAAUAUGGUAUUGCACUACAGAGAAAGUUUAAAAAAAUGCAAGAGCCACAAUGGGGUAAAUUGGAAGAGCAAGAGUUCAUCUUUAACACACAAGUGGUCUGCUCAGGUGUUUGAUAACAGCAGGGUAGAAGCUGUCUUUGACUCUAGUAGUAUGUACUAUCACGCUUUUGUAUCUUCUACCCAACAGGGGAGGGGAGAAGCAAGAAUGACCUGUGCAGGAAGGGUCUUUAUUGUGUUAGCCUCUUUACCAAGGCAGUGGGAAGUAUGGACAGCGUCAAUGAAGGGGAGGCCACGUUUUUUGAUGGACUGAACUGCAUUCACAAAUCUUUGAAAUUUCUUGUGGAAAUGCUGCCACUUAACUAAAAUCUUCAGCUACUCGAUUAUUGAUGAAUCUUCACAUCAUCAUUGUCAGUAUGCGCCGUGUCUUUAUUCUUUGGAGCGUGGAAGGUUGAGGGGGACUUGAUAGAGGUAUUUAAAAUAAUGAGGAGGAUAGAUCGAGUUGACAUGGAUAGGCUUUUUCCAUUGAGAGUAGGGGAGAUUCAAACAAGAGGAUAUGAUUUGAGAGUUAGAGGGCAAAAGUUUAAGGGUUACACGAGAGGGAAUUUCUUUACUCAGAGAGUGGUAGCUGUGUGGAAUGAGCUUCCAGUAGAAGUGGUAGAGGCAGGUUUGGUAUUAUCAUUUAAAGUAAAAUUGGAUAGGUAUAUGGUCAGGAAAGGAAUGGAGGGUUAUAGGCUGAGUGCGGGCCAGUGGGACUAGGUGAGUGUAAGCGUUGGCACUGUCUAGAAGGGCCAAGAUGGCCUGUUUCUGUGCUGCAAUUGUUAUAUGGUUAUAUGGUGCCAUAUGAUGUGGUCAAUCAAGGCCUUUGACUGUGAUUAUUCUUGACAAAUUCUUCUACAGAAAUGGUUUGCCAUUGACUUCUUCUGGGCAGUGUCUUCACAAGAUGGGUGAACCCAACCAUUUUCAAUAUUCUUCCAGGCAUCCAUGGUCACACAAUCAGGACUUGUGAUGUGCACCAGCUGCUCAUAAGGUCAUCCACCACAUGCUACCGUAGCUUUAUGUGGCCUUGAUUGGGGGGGCUAAGCAAAAGCUAUGCCUUGCACAAGGGUGACCUGCAGGCUAGUGGAAGAAAAGAGCCUCGUUUGCUAGAGACAUAUCCCCACCCCACCAGCCACACUUCACAACAGCACGCAUUAGGAAAACAAUAUAUUAAUCUUGCUUUCUACUACUUAAAACAAAUGAGGUUUUUGUUCUCUACCUCCUGUCAACAGAUGAAUUAAUAAGAGAGUAAUGCAUUGUUUUUCUAAAGCAUUUUUCAUAACCUCAAUGGUCUGAUAUCACUUUGCAGCCAAUGAAGCAUUUUUGCCAUGCGAAUACUGUUGAAACGCAGGAAACAUGGUUGCUAUUUGCACAGAUCAAGCUCUGACAAGAAAAACUGGCCUGAUAAUGUUUUUAAUAUAUAAACUGAUGCUGUUUGGGGUAUAUAAUUUCACAAAAAUGGAAGGGGAGAACUCCUCCCACAAACUGAUGUUGUCUGGGGUGUUUUUUCACAAGGAUGGAGGGGGAGAACUUCUCCCAUAUUAUGAGGGAAGAUGGAGCCUCAGCAUUGAGGUGGGCUGACAACUUUGGUGUUGUGCUCAAAGCUCACAGCUGGAUUUACAUUGUGUCACCUGCACUACACCUCACAGCUCCUCCAUCUCUCUAGCUGGGGGCUGGAACUUCAGCCUUUAAGAUGCUGCUCCUUUAAGAGGAGGGAAGAUCUUUCCAUCUUCUGCAAUUUGUCUGACGUCCAGUUUCAUGUCGAUCCUGAGCCUCUGGAUUUUCUGCAACAGCUCAGGCGUGUGCUGACUCUGAGGGGCUGUAGUCUGGCAAGGACAACUUUAUUUCAAUGAAACAAAACCUUAUUUUGCUCUGUGCAAGUGGAAUCCUUCCAGUAGUCUGUGGGUUAGUUAUAAAAGCAGCUUUUCUAAAAUAGUGCUUGCUCAGGCUUGUUCUGCCCACCCGCGUCAGUAAAAAACUCACUCCUCCUUGAGUUGCCAUGCUUUAAUUUUCCCUUCAAAGAAAUGCACCCCACCCACAAUUUUGUAUGUUCAAUAAUCAUAUUCAUUUUUCUUCAGCCAUAACAUACCUUUGGAGCUGCGACUGGAAUACAAAUAGGGCCGCUGAAGCUGCAAACUCCAUUUGGACACGUAGCUUCAGAUCUCGAGACUUGAUCAAGCCCUUCCUUUCUCCUCAAAUUCUUAUCUCUUUAAUCAGAAGAAAUGAAUAUGUUUAAAUGGAGAUCUGGUGCCAUCCCAAAGGGCUGGCUACACAGUAUGUCAGUCUUGCAUCUCAGUUCCUGAUUCCAGAGAGUCGAGAUCAAUCACUCAAACAUCUACAGUACAUGAUAAACAAUUAGACCAUUUGGCCCAUCAUCUCAUGCCAACUCAAGAGGAACUACAGAGAUUAAUCACACUCCCAGCUCCUGCUCCUUAAUAGUCUUUUAGGCUACAGAACUUUAAUUGUUCAUCUAGGUUUUUUUUAAAAAAUGUGACAAAAAAUCUGCCUCCAUUCUCCCUGAUUCAGGACUUCCAUAUUUGCUUUCUCUUCUCUCCAGUUCUUCUGCCAUGACCAUGAACCCCUGUUCCCAGGUCUUGGCCUUUCGGCUAUGGAAUUUAACAUCUAAUUGCAGAUGAUGGAAUAAUCUCAUUUUGGCAACUUAUAUUCCAAAAGAAACAAAUCCAUCUCAUCUGUAUCCACUCAGGUCAAGUUAUUUGCAUUCUAACUGAUGUUCCUGUAGAUCUUCUGUGCAGAGUCUUGAAUGUCAACAUAUACUUCCAAUAAUGUGGUUAUUAGAUCUGUGUUCUGGCUCUGGUACAAAUACCAUUUUAAACUGGUUCACAAUAAUUUUCCAGCUCAUAUGUUCUGUCUCUCAGUAAAUCAAGGCAAGUACCCCAAAUGCCUUCUUAAUCUCUUUAUCUACCUGUCUUGACGCCUUUAUCUAUCUGUACUUCUCAGUAUUGGGCUUUCCUUCACUUUGCAAGCCUUCCCAAAUGCAUUACUUCACUCUUCUCUGGAACAAACUCCUUCUUCAAAGUUUGUAUUCACAUAACCAAUGUGUUACUAACUUUCUGCCACCUGCAACUUUCUUCCUCUCUAUUAUCCACACUCCUACUUUGGUUCACCUUAAAAGUCUUUACACAUGAUUCUACACUAUUGGGUACAUGACGCAGGCUACAGGGUUUCUUUGCUUUCUAGUUGCCUGCAAGGAGAUGAAUCUCAAGGUUGAAUAUAGUAUAUAAACAAACAAAACUUUGAACUAACAAUUCCUCAUUGAUCCAGGAUCCAUACACUGACAAUCCAGAUAUGAAAACAAGAGUCAUGAUUAAUAAGUUGACAGGUGAAAUAACAAUCACUGGUGUUGUCCACAGUGUAGUGCUCAGCUUGGUGAGUUGGUAAGAAAAAUGGCAGAUGGAAUGUAAUGUUGAAAAAUAUAAGAUGUUACAUUUUGGUGGGACUAACAAUGAUACAGACAGAUUUAUCCAAUUGACACACACAAAAUGCUGGAGGAACUCAACAGGUCAGGCAGCAUCUAUAGAGGAAAGUUCUCCUACAUAGGUUGCCUGAUUUGUUGAGUUACUUCAGCAAUUUUGAUUAAGAUUUCCAGCAUCUGCAGUAUCUCUUGUCUAGGCUUUAUUUUUUUUUCACAGUGAGAUCUUUUAUGCCGACUUUUUUCCCUCUCCCCCUCUCUCUCCCCCCCCCCCCCCACUGUCUUAUAUUAUUUAUACUCUAUAUGCUGUUGAUACCCAUUCGUCUCUGCUGCUGCCACAGGUAACUUUUUCAUAGCAUCUGUACCACAUUGUAUUUGUGCACACGACAACAAGCUUGUCAAACCUCAACCAUCAAGCUCUUGAACCAAAACGUAUAACUCCACUUAGCCCAUCAUUGAAAUGUUCCCACUACCAAUGGACACACAUUCAAGGACUCUUCAUCUCAUAUUCUCAAUGCUUAUUGCUUAUGUAUAUUAUUAUUAUUAUUAUUCAUUUCUUCUGGUAUUUGCAGAGUUUGUUGUCUUCUGCAUUCUGGAUGAAUACCCUAGUUGGGCGGUCUUUCACUGAUUCUGUUAUGGUUAUUAUUCUAUAGAUUCAUUGAGUAUGCCUGGAAGAAAUGAAUCUCAG
Molecule: long non-coding RNA, 8644 nt
Organism: Hypanus sabinus (Atlantic stingray)
Lineage: Eukaryota; Metazoa; Chordata; Chondrichthyes; Myliobatiformes; Dasyatidae
Exons: 3
Source: RefSeq, a predicted model, not a curated record